Molecule: small nuclear RNA, 103 nt
Organism: Phyllostomus discolor (pale spear-nosed bat)
Lineage: Eukaryota; Metazoa; Chordata; Mammalia; Chiroptera; Phyllostomidae
Source: RefSeq, a predicted model, not a curated record
GUGCUCACUUCAGCAGCGCAUUUACCGAAAUUGGAACUACACGGAAAUUAGCAUGGCCCCGCACAAGGAUGACAUGCAAAUUCAUGAAGCGUUCCCUAGUUUU